GUCACUUAGGCAUAACUGACCUGUUUGAUGAGGGCUUUACAGCAACAAGAGCUAUAGUUCAGUUUCUAGGACUCUAAGUUCCUUCUUGCCCUGUUUCCUCUUAUCUUAUCAAAACACAGUUUCAGCAGCUAGAGAAUGCAGGUAGGUAGAGGCCCCUCUGUUGGCUGAUUCCUUCCAUAUGUGGGUUAUUUCAUUUUCCAAGGGGCCCUAGGGUUUGGGAAAACUACUUGUCCAGUGUAAUCACCUAUGAGCUAGUAUAAACUCAAGCUUUGCUGCAAUUUAUUAGUCACUGACGUGCCAAGAGAGAAAAAAAAAAAGGUUGGAAGAAACUAAGAAAACAGCCGUUUGAGAUUCUAGUCUAAGGUUCAUUUGAGCAUGUUUGGGGUUUAAAAAAUAUUAGAUCUAUUUCUAUCAGCAUCCAUGCAACAUCCUGCACAGAGUGAUAUUUUAAAGCCAAUAUGGCUUCAGUGAGCCCACAUUUCCAAAACAGCCCCAAAUGGGUUUUAGCAACAAGCCUCUGACCCCCAGCAAUAUCGGUGUUUGAAGCCCUCUGAGAAAUCAAGGCAACAGGCCUGUUUUAGUGUUGCUCUGUAAAUUCUGAAUGGCACAGAGCAUCUUUUAGAAGUAGAAAGCUGGUACGCCCUAAAGCAGAUGAAUGUCUUUCUUGAAAACUAAGUAGUCAUCACAUUAGUGCUGAGUAGUUUCUUAAAAAUCUUCCUUUUAAAAAGUAGGGGAAUGUAGGCUUAGAGAAUAAAUUUCAUUCGGCAAGCUGAGUCCUUACUGCGUGUGGCACUGUGACAUAGUGGAAGAAGAACUCUUGUUGUCAUGGAGCUUAGAGACUGGCAGAUGAGUCAUACAUGAUAAAUAAAUGUAAGACAAAGACUACAAUCAGUACCAUAAAAAAGUAUAUCAUAGACAUGUUUGAUCCGAGACGGAAGGUUCCAGACACCUACAUGUCUAUGUUCAGAAGCUGCCUUGAUGCCACAUGCGGGAGGCUGGAAACGCUGAAGGAUGACCACUGCUCAGCAGCAGUCUACCAGUGAUGGAUGAGAGUUGGUGCACAAAUACCCCAGCUCCCUUGCCUCUCAGUUUGGAUAAUCCUGAAAAGGUGUGUACUAUGCUAUUUCUGAGAUUAAGCCCUAGUUACCCAUAGUGGUAGCUAAAUAUAGUAGUUGGCUGUAUUCUCCAUCACUUCUUGAAUCCCCUGCCAGUGUUCUCUGCACCUCCUUAAUAAAC
RNAcentral lists this long non-coding RNA (1236 nucleotides) under Homo sapiens (human). RNAcentral describes it as "HSALNT0292325". The record is from RNAcentral. Lineage: Eukaryota; Metazoa; Chordata; Mammalia; Primates; Hominidae.